GGCGGGGCUUAUCUCAUACACGGUUAGUAGUGGAGCUACGUCCCUUUAUAUUCCAUAUUAGGUAAGAAGGGGGCUGGGCUUAUUCCAUACACGUUUAGUAAUGGUGUUAUGUCCCUUUAUAAAAACAAAACGGUACUGAGAAAAAAAAUUAAAAGUUCCAACAGACGAAGAAAUUGAUGAUUAAGAUUGAAAUAAAUUCAUAAAACACAUUUAAACCUUACAAGUCG
RNAcentral lists this long non-coding RNA (227 nucleotides) under Mytilus galloprovincialis (Mediterranean mussel). The record is from RNAcentral. Lineage: Eukaryota; Metazoa; Mollusca; Bivalvia; Mytilida; Mytilidae.